RNAcentral lists this unclassified non-coding RNA (244 nucleotides) under Glomeraceae sp. Its description in RNAcentral is "partial internal transcribed spacer 2". The stretch from base 1 to 71 matches the Rfam family "5.8S ribosomal RNA", at positions 84 to 154 of the family's 154-position model. The record is from RNAcentral. Lineage: Eukaryota; Fungi; Glomeromycota; Glomeromycetes; Glomerales; Glomeraceae.
GUGAAUCAUCGAAUCUUUGAACGCAAAUUGCGCUUUUUAGAAUAGGGGGGAGUAUGCCUGUUUGAGGGUGAGUAUUAACAAAAAAAUCGGUGUGCAUGCGUAUAGUGACGUUUCAGGAGUUUGGGUUAUUUUAAGUUUUUUGGUUAAGGGGGUUAAAAUUGACCUUUUUUGUGCAUUUUUAGAAGAAUAUAAAUUUGUUUUUAUUCGUCUAUGCUUAAUGCCAAAAUCUGUGUAGAUGAGAUCA